GCGGCCUAGAGACUUGAUUUGAGUCUGGGGAGGGGCGGAGCGAGGAGCUGGUUGUAGGCUAGCGGUGGCGGGCCAGGAGCGACGCGAGCCCAAGGAAGCGAAGGGCGCGAGAAGCAGGUUACGCAGCGCCAACUGGUUUGAGUCCGAGAGGGAGCGGCGAGGAACUGCGCGCGGCCCAGCGGCGCGAGCCCGAGGGAACAGGAAGUUGAAACUCGGGGCAUAGGAUCUGCGCAGAGGGCUCCGGUCACAGCCUUUUUAAAGAAACAGUGCAGCUGCUUUCCUGAGCCGUAACAAAGAACAUAAGAACAGCUAUACCGGGUCAGACCAAAGGUCCAUCUAGUCCAGUGGUUCUCAAACUUUUGUACUAGUGACCCCUUUCACACAGCAAGCCUCUGAGUGCGACCCCCCCCUUAAAUAUAUUAAAACAGUAUAUUUAAUUUAUAACUGUAUUAUAAAUGCUGGGAUGAAGCGGGGUUUGGGGUGGAGUCUGACAGCUUGUGACCCCCUGAUGGGUCACCUAGUUUGAGAACCCCUGAUCUAGCCAUUACCCUGUCUUCCUACAAUGGCCAAUGCCAGGUGCCCCAGAGGGAAUGAACAAAACAGUCAUCAUCAAAUGAUCCUGUUGCCCACUCCUAGCUUUUGGUAAACGGGCUACAGACACCAUCUCUGCCCAUCCUGGCUAAUAGCUAUUGACUAGGACCAAAGGACUAUUAUGUUCUUCCAAAAGGAAUUGUAACAUCACCAAGUUGAAAACCUCGCAAAGUUCUCGCUUCCUAUCAAUAUCAGGGAUCUGAGGAAGCUGGUAGAAAUGUCAUCCGUAAAAUAUUAAAGACCAUCUCAGUUCCAGGGAAUUAUUUUCCUUUCUCUAUAUAUUUUUCAGUGGUAUGCAUUACCGUUUGCUAACCAUCUAUGCUUUAAAAUGUUAUAAAUGUAUGGUUAAUGUAAACCAUCAUUAAAAAAACUAAUGUCACUUUAUGAUUGAAAUUGAAUACUAAGCAAAAUCCCCAACUGAGAUAAAAAUGUGAGUUUGUAAAAUGAAGGGUUGAUAUAGACUUGUGAGGCAGGGGCAGGUAAGAAUUUACUUUCUCCAUAUUCUUAUAGAUUCAUAGA
RNAcentral lists this long non-coding RNA (1110 nucleotides) under Chrysemys picta bellii (western painted turtle). RNAcentral's name for it is "lncRNA (ENSCPBG00000005833.1)". Lineage: Eukaryota; Metazoa; Chordata; Testudines; Emydidae. The record is from RNAcentral.